UGGAGUGUCUCUGUUGGCAAC
This 21-nucleotide non-coding RNA is filed under the name Arabidopsis thaliana (thale cress). Lineage: Eukaryota; Viridiplantae; Streptophyta; Magnoliopsida; Brassicales; Brassicaceae. The record is from RNAcentral.